This is a long non-coding RNA of Acipenser ruthenus (sterlet), 1225 nucleotides long. RefSeq lists it as uncharacterized. Lineage: Eukaryota; Metazoa; Chordata; Actinopteri; Acipenseriformes; Acipenseridae. The record is from RefSeq and is a predicted model, not a curated record. The transcript has 4 exons.
CGUUCGUGACAGGUAAGUAUUUGUCCUGGUAAUUUGCUUUUCUCUCCAAGUGAUUCAGCAGAAUUUGCAAAAUAAAACGGUGUAUGCUGCUCGGAAGAGGAUAUCCACAAUUAAACAAAGUACCAGACAACAGUAGCGAGAACAGUGCAAGGAAGUCAUGACUGUACUAAAAGUACACGUAGAAUACUGUGGUAAAUGAGGGUACGCCUCCCGGUAUCGGGAACUUGCCAAAAAGGUCAAAGAGCAUGUUCCUGAUGCGGAAGUCACCGGAGCCGAAGGAAGAAGCACCAGCUUUGAGAUCACUAUGAAUGACCAGUUGAUAUUCUCCAAGUUGGAAACAAAAGGCUUUCCUUAUGCUGAAGAUAUCAUCGAUGCGGCUCAGAAAGCCAGCCGUGGAGAAACCGUCUCUAAAAUCACCAAGAAGCAGAACUGUGUUGUGAUGUAGGAUGGUUGCUUCCUGAAAGUUAGAAAUAAUUCCUACAUUUUAAUCUGGGACCCGGUUCUUAGGAUGACUGUUUGCAUUUAAACCUGCAAUGCAAACAUGAAAAGAAACAAGAACCCCGUUCUCUAGGCAUUUAGAAUUCAGGAGUGCAUUUCUUGAGCUUUCUUUUUCUCAAGUACUGUAAUUCAGCAAGGUAGCUGUCAGUAAAAAACAAACAAACAAACAAACAAAACAGAAUAAAAUAUCUCCACAGCAGAGUGCGAAUACUUAAAGUUAACUCAUUUACUGGAUGGUGGAGGAGUAGAUUUUAAUGUUCAAUGAUAGCUGUUGCUCUGUAGUUUAUGUGUUUCUUCUUUGCUGACUGGCUACCUAAAUAUUUUAAUUUUGUGUGUAGUUGUUUUUUUUUCUCCCCUUAUUGGAUGGUAAAUAUGUAGCAGAAGGCAACUCUCUGUUGUAAAUACUGUUGCUUAUGAACAGACAUAUUUUCUGUUGAAUUCAAAUGCAGUUAAUUUGAAGUAAACAUUCCCGGCUCCUAAAAAAGCACAUCAAGUUCAGGGUUUAAUACAAAUGAAUGAUUUCCUAAUAUGAAUUAGGUGGAAAAUCAGUGAGUGGUUAAUAACAUACACCUAAACUACUAAACCUUAUUAUUGUAGCAUGUUUCCUUCUGCAUUUGUAACAACUAAUAUACAACUAUUUCCCAUGCUUGUCUUAAUAGUAAUCCCCUCUUUUUUCUUCUUUUUAAAAUGAAUUUGGUACUUGACAAUAAAAAAAAUAUAUAUACAA